CCUACGGGGGGCUGCAGUGGGGAAUAUUGGACAAUGGGGGGAACCCUGAUCCAGCCAUGCCGCGUGUGUGAAGAAGGCCCUCGGGUUGUAAAGCACUUUCAGUGAGGAAGAACGCCUGGUGGUUAAUACCCAUCAGGAAAGACAUCACUCACAGAAGAAGCACCGGCUAACUCCGUGCCAGCAGCCGCGGUAAUACGGAGGGUGCGAGCGUUAAUCGGAAUUACUGGGCGUAAAGCGCGCGUAGGUGGCUUGAUAAGCCGGUUGUGAAAGCCCCGGGCUCAACCUGGGAACGGCAUCCGGAACUGUCAAGCUAGAGUGCAGGAGAGGAAGGUAGAAUUGCCGGUGUAGCGGUGAAAUGCGUAGAGAUCGGGAGGAAUACCAGUGGCGAAGGCGGCCUUCUGGACUGAUACUGACACUGAGGUGCGAAAGCGUGGGUAGCAAACAGGAUUAGAUACCCUUGUAGUC
This 465-nucleotide ribosomal RNA is filed under the name Vreelandella stevensii. RNAcentral describes it as "partial 16S ribosomal RNA". It matches the Rfam family "Bacterial small subunit ribosomal RNA", at positions 338 to 795 of the family's 1533-position model. The record is from RNAcentral. Lineage: Bacteria; Pseudomonadati; Pseudomonadota; Gammaproteobacteria; Oceanospirillales; Halomonadaceae.